This is a small nuclear RNA of Cucurbita maxima (winter squash), 118 nucleotides long. RefSeq annotates it as U5 spliceosomal RNA. The transcript has a single exon. The record is from RefSeq and is a predicted model, not a curated record. NCBI's taxonomy places the organism in Eukaryota, Viridiplantae, Streptophyta, Magnoliopsida, Cucurbitales, Cucurbitaceae.
AGCCGGGCGGUGGACACAGAGCGAACUAUUCUUUCGCCUUUUACUAAAGAAUACCGUGUGCACGCCGCGCGCACCGGCAUACGCCUAUUUUUGGAGGAGUUUCUCUUUGUUGAGAAAU